AUGCUGGCAUCUGUAGAGGAAGCUUUAGAUUACACCCCUGAGGGGCUCAGUGUUCACCUCAGGCAGAGGCUGAGCAAAGAAGCUGUCAGCUGGUUGAUGGAUUCUCCUGUCCUCAUUUUGAUGGAGUACUCCAGUGUUGUUCACAGCACUGAAAGGAUCUGUAGGAAUGCCCUAGCAUCUUGUUGUAUUGCCUCUCUUCAAGGUUUUUGGAGUUACGAAGACAUCAAGAUCCAGGCAGAAGUACUUGUGAUAGUUCUCCAGAUACACCUAGGGGACAGUUUAGAUCUGUCUUGCUUCCAGGCUGCAAACCCUCCAGGCAGGAGAGGAUUGAAUGCUGUGAGAAGCACCAUACCUCUGUUACAGGGACAGCCAACAGGAGCCCUGAUGCUUAAAAGAGCUGAGUCCACCUACAGGGCGCUUUCAUUCCUUCACCUCGUUGAAUCUCACUGUCUGCAUGCAGUAUCACACUUCAUGAUAGAAUUAACCUAUACCUCGUGCUUCUGUGCCAGUCACCGUGCAUGGAGAUUUGACAGGAUUUAGUGCUGACUUGUGGUGCAAACUGAGCUCAUGUUGUCUCUUCCUGGGAUCAAGAAGAAUUAAGUACUAUCCAGGUUGUGCUUACUGUGCUGCAGCCGGAAAUCAACACCCACACAAACUGGGGAAGAAUGAGGCUGUGUUUAUAUAUAUAGUUACCAUGUUUUGAAAUAAAUAUUGAUUCACUCCACUAAGUUGAUAAUUA
Molecule: long non-coding RNA, 739 nt
Filed under: Phasianus colchicus (ring-necked pheasant)
Lineage: Eukaryota; Metazoa; Chordata; Aves; Galliformes; Phasianidae
Description: lncRNA (ENSPCLG00000020829.1)
Source: RNAcentral